RNAcentral lists this long non-coding RNA (516 nucleotides) under Citrus maxima (pomelo). RNAcentral describes it as "long non-coding RNA (CMAX_LNC003782)". Lineage: Eukaryota; Viridiplantae; Streptophyta; Magnoliopsida; Sapindales; Rutaceae. The record is from RNAcentral.
UACAUUUGUCAACAAUGCUCUAUCAAUAUCUUCUCCUCAUGUUCUCUAUCAAUUACAACAUGUUUUGCUUUAUGAAUUAAAGCAUCAAAAACGAGAUCCUAUUGCAAUAUUGAAGAAUUUCAACCCAAGAUUUUUAAUCCACAUUAAACUAUAAUACAGUUACAAAAUUUUCAAAUUCAGCUUUGGUAAUCUCUGAAACAGCCUCUGCAAGUCUAUAACUUCAUAUCUAAAUCAAACUAAUCUAAAAAUUAAAAAGAAUUCACCAAACUAAACAAAAUUAGUCAAACCUUAGAACUUAAUCUUCAAACCCUAAAAUCACUAAGCAUAAUUUGAUAGUAGUGGCAGCAGAUAGGGAUGGCAAUGGGGUGGGGUGGGGGUGGGGAGGCCUACCCCAUUCCCCACCCCGUUAGAAAUUUUUGCCUCCAUUCCCCACCCCAUUCCCCAAUAAAUUUAGUGGGGUGGGGAUGGAGAAUCCCCAUGUGGGGAAUGAUUUCCCCAUCCCCACCCCAUUCCCCA